This 77-nucleotide transfer RNA is filed under the name Candidatus Omnitrophota bacterium. RNAcentral describes it as "tRNA-Ile". It matches the Rfam family "tRNA". Rfam says of the family: Transfer RNA (tRNA) molecules are approximately 80 nucleotides in length. Their secondary structure includes four short double-helical elements and three loops (D, anti-codon, and T loops). Further hydrogen bonds mediate the characteristic L-shaped molecular structure. tRNAs have two regions of fundamental functional importance: the anti-codon, which is responsible for specific mRNA codon recognition, and the 3' end, to which the tRNAs corresponding amino acid is attached (by aminoacyl-tRNA synthetases). tRNAs cope with the degeneracy of the genetic code in two manners: having more than one tRNA (with a specific anti-codon) for a particular amino acid; and 'wobble' base-pairing, i.e. permitting non-standard base-pairing at the 3rd anti-codon position. The record is from RNAcentral. RNAcentral also lists the same sequence under 2 other names. Lineage: Bacteria; Pseudomonadati; Candidatus Omnitrophota.
GGGCUCAUAGCUCAGACGGUUAGAGCGCACGCCUGAUAAGCGUGAGGUCGGUGGUUCGAUUCCACUUGAGCCCACCA